AUCUCAUAGUUAUGUAAAUUAGAACUAGAAUUUUUCUAUGCAAAUAAAACCCGACAGCGGUGCUCCCUUUUAAGCAAUUGCAAUGGUGAAUCUAAGCAUAAUAGUAUUGACUCUCAAUAUAAAUGUAAUAAACUUUAAUUGGACUAAUAUAAGAUGAGUUUUUGUUUUAACUAAGAAGUUUCUGAUUUUUAUGCCAUGCUUAGGAGGCUGGAAAUUAUGUAAAAGAUGAUGUAUGGCCUGCCCUUAUUGUUGAGACAAGCAAUGCUUCUGAUCUCCAUGGAUAUACUAUCAGGGCUUUAUAUAGGGAAUUCUAACAUCAUCUGAAUAGGCUGAUAUGACCAUGUUAGAAGACGAACGACCAACAAAAAGAUGACUUUCGUCAACCCUUGUUAAGGUCAGUACGUCAGAGUCAGAGCUGUCUUUCUACAUUUAUGCUUCGUACUUCCUAGAAAUUUCAUGAUCUUCCUAUGCAUGCAGGUUCUGAGUUUUUCUCUAUUUGUGCUAGGAUUGGAUCUUUAAAUUAAUGCUCUUUAAAUUAAUACAUGCAGGUUCUGAGUUUUUCUUUGUAUUUCUUGUUUAAUUUUCGAGGGAAGAAGCAAUAUGUUUUGUUGCUUCAGUUGUUGUUUUGCAUGGUAGUACAUCUUGCUAUACCCUGCUAUUUCGUCAAGUUUUGGAGUUAUUACAAAUUUAAUUUAAACUUUAUAUGCUUACAGGUGGAAACUAGCUUAAGUCUUAUGUUCUUAAUAAUAAAAGGACUUUUUUUUACAAUGUGCAGGUAUAUUGAGAUGACUUCUUUGGAGCAAUUCUUGACAACAUUUGUAGUUGAGGACUUUAGAAUGGAAGAAUGUAUUUCACUAAUUUUUGUAUACAUUUAUUUUUUGUAUUUAGUGAUAGAGGAAUCUGAAUUGAGCAUAAAUUAUGUUGUAAUAUGAUCUCAUAAGCCUAGACUAGUAGACUAAAUAUUGUAAUUACAUUUUGAGUAAUUAAUAAAAAUCGAUUUAUGUUACCUUA
Humulus lupulus (European hop) is the source of this 1011-nucleotide long non-coding RNA. RefSeq lists it as uncharacterized. NCBI's taxonomy places the organism in Eukaryota, Viridiplantae, Streptophyta, Magnoliopsida, Rosales, Cannabaceae. The transcript is spliced from 3 exons. The record is from RefSeq and is a predicted model, not a curated record.